UACGUAGGGUGCGAGCGUUGUCCGGAAUUACUGGGCGUAAAGAGCUCGUAGGUGGUUUGUCGCGUUGUCCGUGAAAACUCACAGCUUAACUGUGGGCGUGCGGGCGAUACGGGCAGACUGGAGUACUGCAGGGGAGACUGGAAUUCCUGGUGUAGCGGUGGAAUGCGCAGAGAUCGGGAGGAACACCCGUAGCGAAGGCGGCACUCUGGGCCGGUACUGACGCUGAGGAGCGAAAGCGUGGGGAGCAAACAGG
RNAcentral lists this ribosomal RNA (253 nucleotides) under uncultured bacterium. RNAcentral's name for it is "partial 16S ribosomal RNA". It matches the Rfam family "Bacterial small subunit ribosomal RNA", at positions 524 to 776 of the family's 1533-position model. The record is from RNAcentral.